Gasterosteus aculeatus aculeatus (three-spined stickleback) is the source of this 3231-nucleotide non-coding RNA. Lineage: Eukaryota; Metazoa; Chordata; Actinopteri; Perciformes; Gasterosteidae. The record is from RefSeq and is a predicted model, not a curated record.
CGGGGAUCAUGUCGACAGAAGAGUUCCGCGCGGAGACCGCGACGAGCAGAUGAACGCCAUGGACUACCGGAGGAAAAAGAAGUUCACCUUCUUCACCAUCGGCCUCAUAUUUCUGCUCAGCGGGGUGGAGUACGCUGUAAUAUUGCCCACAAUAUGGAGGUAUCUGCAGACGCUGGAGGCUGCGCCCUACUUCCUGGGUUUGGUCCUGUCGGCGUUCAGCCUGAGCGGCCUCCUGACCGGACCGCUGUUCGGCUACUGGUCGGACCAAUCGGGGGCCACCAAGAAGAUCAUCUUAUUUGCCAACUGUUUUGAGAUGAUUGGUAAUUUCAUGUACUUUAUGGGCUACUCCAAGUGGCUGUUACUGUCAAGCAGACUGGUGGCAGGUAUCGGCACCGGUGCUGGCUCAUCUAUCUUUGGCUUCCUGACCAGAAGCACUUCCCCCAAGGACCGCGCCACAGCAUUUGCUGCUGUCAUGGCAUGUCGGCAGGCUGGCCUUUUGAUUGGUCCAGCGUUUAACAUCUUCCUGAGGCUGUGUGAUUUCAACGUGGGUCCUUUUGUCGUCAAUAAAUAUACUGCGCCAGGGUUGUUCAUGUGCCUCAUGUGGACUCUCCUUCAAGUGGCGGUGAUCCUCAUGUACUGGGACCUACCGCCUCUGGAGAAGGGAAAGGCCAGGCAGAGUCUGACGGGACAGCGCAGGGAGGAGGGGAAUGACCAAGGGGUCGUGGAAGAGGAGGAGGAGGACGACGACGGCGACGAGGAAAAGCCGCUAAUGGCGUCGCAGGAGGCGGGGGGCUCCUACGGCGCAGUGGUGGCAUCCAAGCCACCCGGACGCGACUCCUCCGGCGCCUCAAAUGCCACGUUAAGCUCUCCGCCUCCCUCCGCCGAGCCACCCGAGUCCCAGGCGCCCUGUGGCUCCGUUAAGACUGUCAGCCGAUACCGUGAGUUCCUGAGGGAAGAAGUGGUUGUGCUGCUGGCUGCUCAGUUCAUCACGCUCUUCAAUCAGACCGCUCUGGAGACCAUGGUGACUCCGAUGACCCAGAGGUACUUCAGCUAUGGGGAGCUAGAGAACAGCGUCAUGUACUGUCUGUGCGGCGUGGAGGUGAUCGCUGGCUUCCUGUUUGUGCGCUGGCUGAGUCAGCGCGUUGCUGACCGAGUGGUCCUGGCCAUCGGUCUGACCAUUUGCAACAUCUCCGGUGUCUGGUGCCUCGUCUUCUUGGCUAACCCGCUAGGUCAGUUCCCAUGGCAGCUAACUGAGUUCAUCAUUGGGGUGUUUCUGCAGGUUUUGGGUUUGCCUUUUGUAGCAGUUGCUCAAGUUUCCCUCUUCUCCAAAAUUACCUCUGAGAAAACACAAGGUUUCAGUCAGGGAGUACGUCGCUCAGUGGGAGGUCUGGCCACCAUUCUGGGCCCUCUUUGGGCUGGUGGCCUUACAGAGAACAUGUAUAUCAUGCUCGGGAUGAUGAUGGCACUGCUGGCACUGCUAACGAUGAUGCUGGCUUUCUCAUAUAGCCGUCUAGUUCCACCGGCUACAGAGGAGGAAGUGGAGGCCCCGGACAACUGUGGCUGAGCCGAUGCAAUAAAAGUGGAUAUGGAAGACAUUUUUUUUUUGCCCCCCCCUUUUUUUGUUGCUCCCUCUCUUAUUUUUCUCCAUUUAUUCAGUUUCUCUAACAAAAGCCAAGUCCGGGAAGCACACGCUCGGACCGCCGCUAAUUGGUAUCAGAUCUGCGGGGUUUGUAUCAGCACCACGCUGGCCGAAGCCAAAACUUUGCUCUCAUCUGCAUCGAGUGUGGGUCGCUGAGAGCCCAGGUGUGUCCCGUGUCACCCUCUUGCCGCUUAUCUAACGUCUCCCGACACUGUCACACAGGAAACCACCUUGGGGACCAAACGUUGGAGAAUGUUAAGCACCAUAUAAUGGGGGAAGACUUAGAAGUGACUUUCAAGUAAACGGGGGAAAUUGAAUCGGGUUGGGUGAACUGAUGGAUGCUUAAAUAUUGCCUAUUGCAAGAAAGAAAGGACACCUUUUUCAUAUUUAAUUUCCAUCCUCACAUUUGGCAAAAAAAACAGCCUAUGAAAUAGCGAAAGCCAGAGCAGAUAUCAGGCAUAAGGUUAUACUUCCAGCAGUGACUGAUUGGCCAGCUCUUUGCUGCUGGCCUUUUAUUCCAACUCUCCAUCAGAUAACAGGAACUUUGAUUGGAACUGCUUCCAUGUUGUGUGACAGAAGGUGAGUUAGUAAAAAAGGACUUCAACAAUCAUGACAAAUCAACAUUCAUGCACUAAUUAAAAUAAAGGGAGGUCAGAAAGAGUGCUAUGGCACUUUACUUUUGAAAGCUCUUUGUGGAAACACAAUCCUUCCAUUUGUAAGUUGGGAGUCACCUUAUCCUCGCUCUGUGCCCCGUGGCAGCCCUCGUGCACUCUGAACGUCUUCCAAGCACAACAAUCAGGGACACAGCAUGAGCAAAAAACUGAUAUAUUAAAUGUAAUCUCUGUAAUCUUUUUUUCUUUCUUGCCACUCCUUUGCUUACAAUUGUAAGUCUCUCCCUCUCCCCUGCUGACACUGGCACAUCCAAUCAAAUUGGAUGGAUGGGAAUGGAAUUGCCGUUUUGGAGCCAUGUGUCCCUAAAUUCAUUGAAGAUAGAGAACAUAGACGGGAGUUCAAAGCGACUCCCUCACCCCCUUUUGCUUCUCGUAAUCCCGGCUAGAAACCGAAGGAAGGAAGAAAGGCAAGUGUGUGUCGCCGCGAAGACGUAACAAUAACAAAAAGAAGAAGAAAAAAAACCCUGCUUGAAACACCAAAACCCCUUCAUAAUUGAGGCAACGGAGGGAGGGCCUUUUUGGAACAAGUGACAAGUGGUGUGUGUUUGCAUCUGUGUGCACGGACAGCCCACCGCUCAUGGGUAACAGAUGGCGCCUUAUCAUUGGCCGGGAUCGGCGGCACAGCGCGCAUUCCUAGACGUGCUAGUAAUGCCUUUUUGUGCUGUUUGACUUUUGCUAACUUCACAUCGAAUUACACACCAAAUUACCAUCAUUACAAUAUAAAAUUAUAUUAUUGCGCACACUGGGUGGCAUUGGUGGAGAUAAUUAUUACCCAUUGAUUGAAAAAGCUAUUAUUCCUGUGCCGAUGGUGGGUUUCGGGACAGAGGAUGUCGUUUGUGUACAGACGGUAAAGCCCUCACAGGCAAAUUUGUAAUUUGCGAUUUUGGGCUAUACAAAAUAAAAUGAAUUUAAUUAAAACAC